RNAcentral lists this long non-coding RNA (354 nucleotides) under Coccomyxa subellipsoidea. RNAcentral describes it as "long non-coding RNA (CSUB_LNC000499)". The record is from RNAcentral. Lineage: Eukaryota; Viridiplantae; Chlorophyta; Trebouxiophyceae; Coccomyxaceae.
ACCUGUUGAGCAUGCAUGGCAAAUAAUAAUGCGUUCUUGGAGCUCGUCAUAUCGAUCUAGUAUGAGAUCGCCAUCCUCAUCCACGGCGAUGGCAUUCUGGUCAACCUUCUUGACUGCAAAUUCAGCACCGUUGUCAACUUUGAAGGCCCCUUCGAAAUGCAAAAUUAGACUGCAUGAAGUUUUUUCUAGGACAAAAAUAUUGAAAGAGUCACACACCUCUCAGACUGGAAUCAGAUUUUGGCAGCAAGACAAACGUUGAUACAGCUACAUGAUCGGCAAGAUCCUUGUGGACGUCGCUCCGAAUGUCGUCCAUGAGACAUUGCGAUGGUUACACAAGGCACAGUAGCUGAUAAA